AUUGAACGCUGGCGGCAGGCCUAACACAUGCAAGUCGAGCGGAUGAAGGGAGCUUGCUCCUGGAUUCAGCGGCGGACGGGUGAGUAAUGCCUAGGAAUCUGCCUGGUAGUGGGGGAUAACGUCCGGAAACGGGCGCUAAUACCGCAUACGUCCUGAGGGAGAAAGUGGGGGAUCUUCGGACCUCACGCUAUCAGAUGAGCCUAGGUCGGAUUAGCUAGUUGGUGGGGUAAAGGCCUACCAAGGCGACGAUCCGUAACUGGUCUGAGAGGAUGAUCAGUCACACUGGAACUGAGACACGGUCCAGACUCCUACGGGAGGCAGCAGUGGGGAAUAUUGGACAAAGGGCGAAAGCCUGAUCCAGCCAUGCCGAGUGUGUGAAGAAGGUCUUCGGAUUGGAAAGCACUUUAAGUUGGGAGGAAGGGCAGUAAGUUAAUACCUUGCUGUUUUGACGUUACCAACAGAAUAAGCACCGGCUAACUUCGUG
This 484-nucleotide ribosomal RNA is filed under the name uncultured bacterium. RNAcentral's name for it is "partial 16S ribosomal RNA". It matches the Rfam family "Bacterial small subunit ribosomal RNA", at positions 30 to 507 of the family's 1533-position model. The record is from RNAcentral.